UUUCAUAUUUUUAUAAAGUAUUUUAAUAUCAUUUCAAAAUAGCCAAUUUUAAUUGAAUGGUUGGUUUUAUAAACCAAUGUUAAAUCAACUUUCAAAAAAUAUAUAUUAUUAUUAUUUCAUUAUUUUCGAACUUAAUUUUUAAGGUUUAAUUUAAUUGUUGUUAUUAUUAUUAUUAUUAUUAUACACAAAAAUUUCAUUUUUGGACUUGAUUGAAAAAUAUGAAAAAGUUUAAGGACUAGUUAUGUAAUUAAAAGAUUAAAAAAAAUCAGAUAUUUUUUCGGCAAGGCCCCCCUGUCUCUCUCUCUCUCUUCUACUCUCUCCCCCACCCUCCCCUCCAUUUUUUUCUACAACCCUCAACCACCCACCUUUGGCAUGACUUUCCCCCACAUCCUUCCUGCACGAAUGACGACGGCGAGGCAUCAGACAGGAGGAGAGAGAGAAAAGUCACGCAAAGAGGGGCCCAACUUUCUGAUGUCUUUUCGGCCGAUUCCAGUGGCCAUUUUUUGCGAUUCUAAGUGCCACGAAUUCCUGAAAUGACAGGGUUUCAGAUGGGACCAGUGGCACUCCGUUUGGUGGCCAGAGAAAGGAGAAUCAUCGAGGAAAAGUUGGAAGGAAAACACAUGAGUUUCAAGCUUUUCGGUCACUUUUUCGGCUAUUCGACCAUUGGAUUAAAAAUUUAAGGCCACCGAUGGACUCAGGGCGACGAAAUCUUUGAGAUGGGACCGACCCCGCUCCAAUCAGACAACAUUUGAAAAAGACUAUCAUCGGAUGGCCCAAGUCACUUGGUGCAUUCGAAUCAAUAAUAGCUCACCAAACGUCGGGAUUGUGUUUUUGACCAAAUCCAGUGGCCCGGUGGUCCGUCCUAAACCGUGGCCAAUAUUAUAGUCGAUUCUAGCAUUUUCAGACGCCUCGGAUGAGUUCCAAGUAUUAGAAUCAACAUAGGUGAGUCGGGCCAGCCUUCCUCCUUAGCCCAGCCUCCUCGGUGAUCAACGAUUAAUUUGUGAGUAGAUAUUGAUUUUAAUUACAAUUUUAAUAUUAUUAUAUAUUCAAGGCAUGCUCAUACAUCAUAUAUAAAUAUAUGUAUGUAACUAAAUACUAGGCACAUUUUAUGUUGUAUUUUCUUAAUUGCAAAAAUGGAUGUGGAUGUCACCUUAGGGUAAUUUAGAGCUGUGUGCGUGUGUCAAUAUGCGUGUGGUGUGGUGUGAUAAAUAUGGGUAAGAUGGGCAAGUCGGCUUAAGCUUGUCUCACUUGGGGCCCGGUUCUUUUGAGGAAGUCGGGGUGAGUACUGUUUUGAGUUGAUCUUGCUGA
Long non-coding RNA from Hevea brasiliensis (rubber tree), 1308 nucleotides. RefSeq lists it as uncharacterized. The record is from RefSeq and is a predicted model, not a curated record. NCBI's taxonomy places the organism in Eukaryota, Viridiplantae, Streptophyta, Magnoliopsida, Malpighiales, Euphorbiaceae. The transcript is spliced from 3 exons.